This 492-nucleotide ribosomal RNA is filed under the name uncultured bacterium. RNAcentral describes it as "partial 16S ribosomal RNA". It matches the Rfam family "Bacterial small subunit ribosomal RNA", at positions 28 to 507 of the family's 1533-position model. The record is from RNAcentral.
GAUGAACGCUAGCUACAGGCUUAACACAUGCAAGUCGAGGGGAAACGACAUCGAAAGCUUGCUUUUGAUGGGCGUCGACCGGCGCACGGGUGAGUAACGCGUAUCCAACCUGCCCAUCACUUGGGAAUAACCUUGCGAAAGUAAGACUAAUACCCAAUGACAUCCCACGAAGACAUCUGAAUGGGAUUAAAGAUUUAUCGGUGAUGGAUGGGGAUGCGUCUGAUUAGCUUGUUGGCGGGGUAACGGCCCACCAAGGCAACGAUCAGUAGGGGUUCUGAGAGGAAGGUCCCCCACAUUGGAACUGAGACACGGUCCAAACUCCUACGGGAGGCAGCAGUGAGGAAUAGUGGUCAAUGGGCGAGAGCCUGAACCAGCCAAGUAGCGUGCAGGAUGACGGCCCUAUGGGUUGUAAACUGCUUUUAUAAGGGAAUAAAGUGGGUCUCGUGAGACUUUUUGCAUGUACCUCAUGAAUAAGGACCGGCUAAUUCCGUG